AGCAGUCGCCGCGGUAAUACAGAGGGUGCGAGCGUUAAUCGGAUUUACUGGGCGUAAAGCGUGCGUAGGCGGCUAAUUGAGUCGGAUGUGAAAUCCCCGAGCUUAACUUGGGAAUUGCAUUCGAUACUGGUUAGCUAGAGUGUGGGAGAGGAUGGUAGAAUUCCAGGUGUAGCGGUGAAAUGCGUAGAGAUCUGGAGGAAUACCGAUGGCGAAGGCAGCCAUCUGGCCUAACACUGACGCUGAGGUACGAAAGCAUGGGGAGCAAACAGGAUUAGAUACCCGGGUAGUCCCUGUCUCUUAUAC
This 303-nucleotide ribosomal RNA is filed under the name uncultured bacterium. RNAcentral describes it as "partial 16S ribosomal RNA". It matches the Rfam family "Bacterial small subunit ribosomal RNA", at positions 507 to 807 of the family's 1533-position model. The record is from RNAcentral.